AUGUGCUGUGAGCUCGAUGAGUAGGGCGGGACACGUGGUAUCCUGUCUGAAUAUGGGGGGACCAUCCUCCAAGGCUAAAUACUCCUGACUGACCGAUAGUGAACCAGUACCGUGAGGGAAAGGCGAAAAGAACCCCGGCGAGGGGAGUGAAAAAGAACCUGAAACCGUGUACGUACAAGCAGUGGGAGCACAGGUUUACCUGUGUGACUGCGUACCUUUUGUAUAAUGGGUCAGCGACUUAUAUUCUGUAGCAAGGUUAACCGAAUAGGGGAGCCGGAGGGAAACCGAGUCUUAAUUGGGCGUUAAGUUGCAGGGUAUAGACCCGAAACCCGGUGAUCUAGCCAUGGGCAGGUUGAAGGUUGGGUAACACUAACUGGAGGACCGAACCGACUAAUGUUGAAAAAUUAGCGGAUGACCUGUGGCUGGGGGUGAAAGGCCAAUCAAACCGGGAGAUAGCUGGUUCUCCCCGAAAGCUAUUUAGGUAGCGCCUCGUGAAUUCAUCUCCGGGGGUAGAGCACUGUUUCGGCUAGGGGGCCAUCCCGGCUUACCAACCCGAUGCAAACUGCGAAUACCGGAGAAUGUUAUCACGGGAGACACACGGCGGGUGCUAACGUCCGUCGUGAAGAGGGAAACAACCCAGACCGCCAGCUAAGGUCCCAAAGUCAUGGUUAAGUGGGAAACGAUGUGGGAAGGCCCAGACAGCCAGGAUGUUGGCUUAGAAGCAGCCAUCAUUUAAAGAAAGCGUAAUAGCUCACUGGUCGAGUCGGCCUGCGCGGAAGAUGUAACGGGGCUAAACCAUGCACCGAAGCUGCGGCAGCGAACGUAUCACUUAAAGCGAUUCAGCGGGUUACGAUUGACGGAGCGAAGCGACGUCAAAGCGUAUACAAAGUCGAGUCGGUUUAAGGAUA
This 908-nucleotide ribosomal RNA is filed under the name Salmonella enterica subsp. enterica serovar Dublin. RNAcentral's name for it is "partial 23S ribosomal RNA". It matches the Rfam family "Bacterial large subunit ribosomal RNA", at positions 392 to 1230 of the family's 2925-position model. Lineage: Bacteria; Pseudomonadati; Pseudomonadota; Gammaproteobacteria; Enterobacterales; Enterobacteriaceae. The record is from RNAcentral.